GAUGAACGCUGGCGGCGUGCCUAAUACAUGCCAGUCGAGCGAACAGACGAGGAGCUUGCUCCUCUGACGUUAGCGGCGGACGGGUGAGUAACACGUGGAUAACCUACCUAUAAGACUGGGAUAACUUCGGGAAACCGGAGCUAAUACCGGAUAAUAUAUUGAACCGCAUGGUUCAAUAGUGAAAGACGGUUUUGCUGUCACUUAUAGAUGGAUCCGCGCCGCAUUAGCUAGUUGGUAAGGUAACGGCUUACCAAGGCAACGAUGCGUAGCCGACCUGAGAGGGGGAUCGGCCACACUGGAACUGAGACACGGUCCAGACUCCUACGGGAGGCAGCAAUAGGGAAUCUUCCGCAAUGGGCGAAAGCCUGACGGAGCAACGCCGCGUGAGUGAUGAAGGUCUUCGGAUCGUAAAACUCUGUUAUUAGGGAAGAACAAAUGUGUAAGUAACUAUGCACGUCUUGACGGUACCUAAUCAGAAAGCCACGGCUAACUACGUG
Molecule: ribosomal RNA, 497 nt
Filed under: uncultured bacterium
Lineage: Bacteria
Description: partial 16S ribosomal RNA
Rfam family: Bacterial small subunit ribosomal RNA
Source: RNAcentral